RNAcentral lists this ribosomal RNA (507 nucleotides) under uncultured bacterium. RNAcentral's name for it is "partial 16S ribosomal RNA". It matches the Rfam family "Bacterial small subunit ribosomal RNA", at positions 30 to 523 of the family's 1533-position model. The record is from RNAcentral.
AUUGAACGCUGGCGGCAGGCCUAACACAUGCAAGUCGGACGGUAGCACAGAGGAGCUUGCUCCUCGGGUGACGAGUGGCGGACGGGUGAGUAAUGUCUGGGGAUCUGCCCGAUAGAGGGGGAUAACCACUGGAAACGGUGGCUAAUACCGCAUAACGUCGCAAGACCAAAGAGGGGGACCUUCGGGCCUCUCACUAUCGGAUGAACCCAGAUGGGAUUCGCUAGUAGGCGGGGUAAUGGCCCACCUAGGCGACGAUCCCUAGCUGGUCUGAGGAGGAUGACCAGCCACACUGGAACUGAGACACGGUCCAUACUCCUACGGGAGGCAGCAGUGGGGAAUAUUGCGCAAUGGGCGCAAGCCUGAUGCAGCCAUGCCGCGUGUAUGAAGAAGGCCUUCGGGUUGUAAAGUACUUUCAGCGGGGAGGAAGGCGAUGUGGUUAAUAACCUUGUCGAUUGAUGUUACCCGCAGAAGAAGCACCGGCUAACUCCGUGCCAGCCGCCGCCGUAA